GAUGAACGCUAGCUACAGGCUUAACACAUGCAAGUCGCGGGGCAGCAUGUAUCUGGCUUGCCAGAUACGAUGGCGACCGGCGCACGGGUGAGUAACGCGUAUCCAACCUGCCCAUAACCACGGCACAGCCCGUCGAAAGGCGGAUUAAUGCCGUAUGAGGUUCCAGAGCAGCAUUAUUGUGGAACGAAAGGAUUUGGCGGUUAUGGAUGGGGAUGCGUCCGAUUAGCUAGUUGGCGGGGUAACGGCCCACCAAGGCGACGAUCGGUAGGGGUUCUGAGAGGAAGGUCCCCCACACUGGAACUGAGACACGGUCCAGACUCCUACGGGAGGCAGCAGUGAGGAAUAUUGGUCAAUGGGGGAAACCCUGAUGCAGCGACGCCGCGUGAAGGAAGAAGUAUCUCGGUAUGUAAACUUCUAUCAGCAGGGAAGAAAAUGACGGUACC
RNAcentral lists this ribosomal RNA (443 nucleotides) under uncultured bacterium. RNAcentral describes it as "bacterial SSU rRNA". It matches the Rfam family "Bacterial small subunit ribosomal RNA", at positions 28 to 479 of the family's 1533-position model. The record is from RNAcentral.